This 518-nucleotide ribosomal RNA is filed under the name Gammarus lacustris. Its description in RNAcentral is "bacterial SSU rRNA". It matches the Rfam family "Eukaryotic small subunit ribosomal RNA", at positions 117 to 554 of the family's 1831-position model. The record is from RNAcentral. Lineage: Eukaryota; Metazoa; Arthropoda; Malacostraca; Amphipoda; Gammaridae.
CCAAAUGGGCCAGUGCAAAUCCUACUUGGAUAACUGUGGUAAUUCCAGAGCUAAUACAUGCAACUUAUAUCCCGAAGGCGAUGGUUGUGCUUGCUUGUCUUGCGCUCUCACUGCUCUGACGGAUGCUUUUAUUAGACCAAACCGCUGAGGACUUGGGGGUUCGCUCUCUUGUCUGACUCGUUAUAUGGUGACUCUGGAUAACCAAAUUAUGACAAGCGCACGUACUUCUCUUCUGAGCGAGACGGCGCUGCCACUUUCGAGUGUCUGCCUUAUCAGCUAUCAACCGUUCGUUAUGCGCGACCGAUGGCUUUGACGGGUAACGGGGAAUCAGGGUUCGAUUCCGGAGAGGCAGCCUGAGAGACGGCUACCACGUCCAAGGACGGCAGCAGGCACGCAAAUUACCCAAUCCCAGCAAAUGGGGGAGGUAGUGACGAAAUCUAACGAUGCGGGCGCCCUUUCUGGGGCCCCGCAAUCGGAAUGGGCACUUUCUAAACAACCUGUUGAGAACCUACUGAAGG